UACGUAGGGGGCAAGCGUUAUCCAGAUUUACUGGGCGUAAAGCGCGUGUAGGCGGCUGGUUAGGCGUGAUGUGAAAUCUUCCGGCUCAACCGGAAAACUGCAUUGCGAACCGGCCUGGCUAGAGUGCAGGAGAGGGAAGCGGAAUUCCAGGUGUAGCGGUGAAAUGCGUAGAUAUCUGGAGGAAUACCAGUGGCGAAGGCGGCUUUCUGGGCCUGUUCUGACGCUGAGGAGCGAAAGCGUGGGGAGCAAACCGG
RNAcentral lists this ribosomal RNA (254 nucleotides) under uncultured bacterium. RNAcentral describes it as "partial 16S ribosomal RNA". It matches the Rfam family "Bacterial small subunit ribosomal RNA", at positions 524 to 776 of the family's 1533-position model. The record is from RNAcentral.